GCAAUCCUUGAAUAAGAAAAUGGCUGGCAAAAGACUUCUGGAUAACUGGAGGAGAUUGUCACAGAGACACCUGUGGAAAGAUGUCCUGGUUAACAGGGAGAUUCUCUCUCAGGCAGAAGGAACGAGCAUCUCUACUCCCAAAUGUUUCAGUAAAAAGGAUAAGGAUAGAAGAGGUUUGAAGACUGAACUCUUCCUUUCUCUCUAUGGCCCCUCAAUCAGCUUCUUACAUCAAAGUUGUGGCUGACAGACAGCUCUAGGCAUCAUGAAAACAGGCAUGCUGAUUUGGACCAAUGUAUUGCACAGCCCACUACUUUGACUCCAAUAACGGACAGAAGUGGAUCGAUG
This is a long non-coding RNA of Grus americana (Whooping crane), 345 nucleotides long. RefSeq lists it as uncharacterized. The record is from RefSeq and is a predicted model, not a curated record. The transcript is spliced from 3 exons. NCBI's taxonomy places the organism in Eukaryota, Metazoa, Chordata, Aves, Gruiformes, Gruidae.